Long non-coding RNA from Pseudopipra pipra, 195 nucleotides. RefSeq lists it as uncharacterized. Lineage: Eukaryota; Metazoa; Chordata; Aves; Passeriformes; Pipridae. The transcript is spliced from 2 exons. The record is from RefSeq and is a predicted model, not a curated record.
ACACAUUCAUUUGGAUUUUAAAAAAUCAAACAGAAGUGAGAGUUUUAAGAGCAGAAUUAUUUUUCAAAGGGAAAUAGAAGGGUAUGGCUUUGAUGGAACGAGUGCCUUCAAGCUCCACUGGCAGGCACUGUUUGAAAACUAUUUGGGUGAUUUUUGAUAAGAAAUGAAAGAUGCAACAGCAGGAAGCCAUUCAGC